UACGCAGGCGGCUUGGUAAGACAGGCGUGAAAUCCCCGGGCUUAACCUGGGAACUGCGCUUGUGACUGCCGGGCUAGAGUCUGUCAGAGGGGGGUGGAAUUCCACGUGUAGCAGUGAAAUGCGUAGAGAUGUGGAGGAACACCGAUGGCGAAGGCAGCCCCCUGGGAUAAGACUGACGCUCAGGUACGAAAGCGUGGGGAGCAAACAGGAUUAGAUACCCUGGUAGUCCACGCCCUAAACGAUGUCGACUAGUUGUCGGGGAUUAACUUCCUCGGUAACGCAGCUAACGCGUGAAGUCGACCGCCUGGGGAGUACGGUCGCAAGAUUAAA
RNAcentral lists this ribosomal RNA (330 nucleotides) under uncultured bacterium. RNAcentral describes it as "bacterial SSU rRNA". It matches the Rfam family "Bacterial small subunit ribosomal RNA", at positions 568 to 898 of the family's 1533-position model. The record is from RNAcentral.